GACGAACGCUGGCGGCGUGCCUAAUACAUGCAAGUUGAGCGCUGAAGGUUGGUACUUGUACCAACUGGAUGAGCAGCGAACGGGUGAGUAACGCGUGGGGAAUCUGCCUUUGAGCGGGGGACAACAUUUGGAAACGAAUGCUAAUACCGCAUAAAAACUUUAAACACAAGUUUUAAGUUUGAAAGAUGCAAUUGCAUCACUCAAAGAUGAUCCCGCGUUGUAUUAGCUAGUUGGUGAGGUAAAGGCUCACCAAGGCGAUGAUACAUAGCCGACCUGAGAGGGUGAUCGGCCACAGUGGGACUGAGACACGGCCCAAACGCCUACGGGAGGCAGCAGUAGGGAAUCUUCGGCAAUGGACGAAAGUCUGACCGAGCAACGCCGCGUGAGUGAAGAAGGUUUUCGGAUCGUAAAACUCUGUUGGUAGAGAAGAACGUUGGUGAGAGUGGAAAGCUCAUCAAGUGACGGUAACUACCCAGAAAGGGACGGCUAACUACGUG
This 497-nucleotide ribosomal RNA is filed under the name uncultured bacterium. RNAcentral describes it as "partial 16S ribosomal RNA". It matches the Rfam family "Bacterial small subunit ribosomal RNA", at positions 28 to 507 of the family's 1533-position model. The record is from RNAcentral.